ACAGCCAACAGUCCCAACAGCACCUACACCAGUGAGGCAAGGACCCUGAUCUCAAGGUACAGUACCUGUGUAUGGUAACUGUUAAGUCACAGCCUGAACCACUGAUGGAACACCUGGGGAAAGGACCCGGUCAGCCCUGGGAGAAGAGGGGAAGACAAUUCAUCUGUGUGACUGGAAGGGAUGGAGCCUGGCUGCACCUCUCUUAGACCUCAUUGAAGGGGUGUGUGCUGACUACCACUGGGGAAGGAUCCCUUUCUGGAGGUCCCUCCUUGGUGAAGCUUUCCCCUGCAAAUCUGGAAUCUUCUGAUAUGGGAAACAACAGCAGUCGGACAAGAAGUCUGAGGUACUAACAAUAAUCUGAAGAAAGCUGAGAAACUUUCCACAAAGAUAUUAAGUACUUUAGAAGAGCAAGAAGAAAUAGAGAACAACCGACAAGAACAAUCAACUGCACAAAGACAGAAUGGGAACCAUCUGCUUAGCUAACAGCCAUAACAAAAAAGUAGAUUUAUUGUUAAUGGUAAACCAAAAAAUACUGAGAUGUUUCAACCUCAUCUAUUAUGUGAUUCUGUGAAAAAGGAUAGUAGUUUCCAAGCAUAUAAGAAACAGCCACAAAGAAGCAGGAUAGUAAUUUGUGCUUCAUGUCUGAUGUGGAGAGGACAAGAAAUGAACUUAAAUGGCAAGCUCAGGAGACUUUAGUUAACAUUAGGAAAACAUUUUAAUGGCAAGAAUAGUGAGUUAAUUGAAUGAAAGAAUGGGCUGUAGAAUCUCAUAACUGAGAUGAGAUCAUAUGUAAGAGCACACUGGAUAAACUUGGAACUAUUUAAAUAUAAUUGAGACUAAGUCAGAGCAAGAAAACGGACUGGAUGUUUUCUUAGGUCUCUUUGAGCCUAUGAUCUAUGACACUACAAUCCUCUUAAUCUCCCUCUCUGGGAUCACUACUUAUAUUUACUUAUCAAGCUCCAUCUUUAAAUAAUUUAGGUUCCUUGUAAUCCUUGUCCUAUUUGAAAGGUCAUGCCAGAGUUCAGCUACUAUUCCUUUGAUGUCAGAAAUAUUGUUCUAGUUUACAAUCCAAAUUCAGAACCAAUUAAUAUCCAUUUGAUAUUAUAGAAAAUUCUUCCUCCCUUGUACUAAUUCCCAAAUGCUUUUCACAAAUAGCAGUACAUUCUCUCUCUGUCUUAAUUUAACAACGCCAUCUAUCUCAGACACUAGAGCUAGACGAGCUAUGGAAGUACAAAGUUCUUUGCAAGCAAAUUUACUUCCCUACAAGUUCAGUGACAUGACUGCUACAUAGCCUCUGGAAGACGCCCUCGUUUAUUCCAAGCUCAGGUAUCUCUGCUUUCCACUGCAGUUUGUGUUGAGGGCAUAUCUCAUGUUAGAGAAUCCAAAAACAAAAAUAAUGUUCCAUAUUUAAAUAAAUUGGCAAAACCAAAUCUGUCAUUCCCACUGAACUCAUGACACAAAGAAGAUGUAAAGUUCUUCCAAUCAGAAGUCUGAGGGAUUUUUUUUUUUUUUAUGGGGUAUCUGAGGACCAUGAAGUUUAUCUGAAGAAGACAACACAGAUGAGGAAAUGUAUUCCCAUUAACAGGGGUUACAUCAUUACUUCGAAGGUUAAUUAUUGAGAGAACUGAAAAACCAGCCUGAUACAUCUGACCUCUUCCAUGGGAGGACUAGAACAUGCCCCAGAUUCAUCCCCCUUGAGAAACUGAGUGCAAAAGAAACCGUAAACUAUCUUUGCUCUUCUGUCACAAUAAUAGAUAAAUGAAACUUAAUUCUGCCUCAGGGAUAAAUGGGCAUGCUCCAGUGAAUUCAGUGGAAUUGUUCUCAUUAAGUUCACAGUACACUGCUAUCUAUACAGGGAAAUAAACUUUUCUAUCUUCUCAUUCACCUCACUCCAUUAAGAAGCUUGAAGCCAAUGAAUUUAUAUCUCAUGCAUUUUUAAUAAUCUAUUUUAUCUCUGUUCUAGAAAUGAUCUAAAACAACUUGGUCAUACAAGACUUUACACACAUGACCAAAAUUAAAUUAUGCAAGAUAAAAUUUUAUCUUCCCUGUGUUCAAAGUGAAAUAUUUUAUGUCAUACUUCACUAUGUUCUUCUAUCAUGAAGAUAAGAUGCUGUGAAAAUAAGAACAUGAUCUGAUCUUGCACACUGAUGCCUUGCAAGAUAUCUAGAUCCAGCCUUACAGGAUACAGUCAGUACUGGUUUUCAAACAUACACAUGAAGUUUCUGCUGAUUCCUAGGAGCACACUGAAUGCAGCAGAAGGCAGUAUUUGCCUUUGCAGGGAAUGACUCUUCUCAUGACCUCCUUUGUAUAAACACUAUCUGAAGCAAACAAAGUGCCAAUUGCAAAAAUACAGCCUGAGAAGAGAAGCAAGUUCCAAAGCUUGCACUGAACAAUCUCAGGACCUCAUUCUGGAAAUGACUGCUCGGUUGGCUUGUGGGGAUUCAUAUUUAAAUGCUCCAGUUUUAGAAUCUUGUUUCAUAACUGGCUGCCAAUGGUUACUUCCUACAUAUGUCUCCAUCGGGUUGCCAACAUUCCCAUUUGUUUUGAAUUAGAACAAAUACUUAGAAACGCAAGAACAACAGGCUGCUAAACUAAGCCAGACAGUAAUGAGCCAUGAAUCCCCUGGCAAAAGGAAUGAGAAUUUCUAACAUUAAUGCUUAGUAACAGGAAUGAUGCCACUGCUGGCAUCUGUAAGUUAAAGCAUCUUAACAAAGUUGACUUAAAUCCCUAUGGACGAACUUUAAGUUAGUACCUGAGAAGUGUUAGUAAAAAUAUCUUUUACAUUUUUUCAGUGUUUUGUGAUCCAAAUGGCAAUAUGUACACACACGCAGUGUACUGGAAUGUCCUCAGAGCUAGGACACAGUCAGAGGAAAAAGCACACCCAUUUCUCCUGGUACCAUCUAAACACAACAGUCCUGAUGGAUAUUGCACCUGUGUUCAUUCCAGUUAAAUUAUUUAUCCAGAAUUUCCAACAUUUCAACUGUUCAUUUAUGUUCAUUUAAAAGAGGGAGAGGUGCAGUCUAGAGUACCACAGACUGGGGAAAACCAUUUGAGAAAAACUGAAUCAAUUCAUCAUCAUAAUUGGUCUCAAAUAUCUAGAAGAGUAAUCCCCCACAAAAAAUGUCUAGUCAAAGUGACAAUGGCUAUCUGGUAAUAUCAUACUAAACUGCCAGUAAACUUAAUUUUAGCUAAAAUACCUUGAUACUAGAUCAUAAACCUGAGAUUAAUAACCGUGGUGAAUGAGUUGCUAACCUAUAACAAAACUCUAUUACAACAAUCUCUUUUCUGUUCAUUUUUUCCUGAUUUUGUGUGUAAAGGCACACUUUUCAGCCUAAUUAGCCUUCACCAAGUCCUAGAAAAUUAAGAGAAAUAAUAAUACUAAAAAAGUUAACUUUGUCUGCACCCGUCACCCUGACAUAAACAACAUCUCUAGUACUUAAAAGUCAAGCAGACAGCAGAGUGUUAUAGUAAUCUCAACUCCCAGGUCUGCAUACAGGGUCUGAAUAAUAGAUGGAAAGGCAAAUGUAGGGAGGGAGCUGUAGAAAGCAUCUUUGCAGAGCAUGCUUGGAGUGCUGCACAGAUUAGAGAGGAGGAGCUGAGUUAGCACAGUACAGCUGCAGAGAGCUUCCAAAAACAACUAUCCUGCUUCAGGACUCAAGCUAACUCAUCUACUAGCACAAUUCAGGAAAGGCAAGACUAGCUCUGUAUUUUCUCUCCUGGUUCCUGGAGGAGCUGUAGGAAGGUGAAAAAUUUUAACUUGAAAUUUUAUAAAUGAACAAUUCUGCAGGUUUUUUUUUUUUUUUUU
Long non-coding RNA from Gallus gallus (chicken), 3805 nucleotides. RefSeq lists it as uncharacterized. Lineage: Eukaryota; Metazoa; Chordata; Aves; Galliformes; Phasianidae. The transcript is spliced from 2 exons. The record is from RefSeq and is a predicted model, not a curated record.